AUGGAGUUAAGCAUGUCCAUGCAUUUAUUCACACUCCCACUGGAACACACUUCUGUGAAGUUGAACAGCUGAGAAGUGGACCCCCAGUCAUUCAUUCUGGAAUCAAAGACCUCAAGGUCUUGAAAACAACAUAGUCUCGAUGUGACGGUUUCAUCAAGGACCAGUUCACUACCCUCCCUGAGGUGAAGGACCGAUGCUUUGCCACCCAAGUGUACUGCAAGUGGCGCUACCACCAGUGCAGGGAUGUGGACUUCGAGGCUACCUGGGACACCAUUUGGGACCUUGUCCUGGAGAAAUCUGCUGGGCCCUAUGACAAAGGCGAAUACUUGCCCUCUGUGCAGAAGACCCUCUAUGAUAUCCAGGUGCUCUCCCUGUGCCGAGUUCCUGAGAUAGAAGAUAUGGAAAUCAGCCUGCCAAACAUUCACUACUUCAACAUAGACAUGUCCAAAAUGGGUCUGAUCAACAAGGAAGAGAAAAUUGACUCAUCUCUCAACUCUUGCCAGAAUAAUAAGGCAUUACCAUGCUUGAAGUAACUUUAGUGGAGGACAUACACAUUUUCCUGUUUAGUCUUGCUGCCAUUAGACAAUCCAUAUGGAGAAAUUACUGGUACAGUCAAGAGGAAGUUGUCUUCAAGACUGUGACAUUGUGGCCACCAAUAGGAGUCCACUCUCAGCUGAGGAAUUCCUUAAGUCAUCUGUGAUGUUGGAGAUGAUAGCAUGUAGCCAUGCAAAAUUUCACACUAGUAUAUUGAUUUGUAGUGUUCACUUUCCUCCAAUAUGAAACAAUUUAUUUCUUCUACACCUAGCUCAGCAAGGCAUUCUGUGGAUUACCUUAUUAGUAAUUAUAACAGGCUUUAUGGCUAUAGUUUACUUUAAAAAUGCUGAGCAGUAUUAGAACAGUUAUAAAUCAAUAUUUCUUUUUGGUUGUCUUAUGCCUUCCUAUCUUAGAGAAGCUUUAGAAUCCAUUCAUUAAGAAAAUAAUCAUGAAUUAAUGAGUGUGUGACAUCAAUUAAUUUGUGCACAGGUUUAAGAAACAAAUAUUAUUUUCAUCCUACUGAUGCUUCUAAGUAAUGCAGAAAAUGAAAUAAAAUUAUAUUGAAAAAUAUCAACAUUGUUACUUCAUUUGACUGAAUAUUUGAUUUUAAGAAUGCUCUAGCAUAUGUAUCAUUGAUUAUUAAUUUCCACUCUGAUAGUACUUCUGUGAUCUUUAUAUUUGAUUUUAAACUUUUUCAAUCCUUAGAGAAUAUUUAGUACAUAUGAGGGUACUGAAAAAGAGUAUAAAUUGUUUUUCUUUGAAUAAUUCAUCCCUUAUGUGCACAAAACAUCACGUUUAAUAAAUGUUAAGCCAAUAUACAGAUGGGUGGAUGUACAUUUAGAAAGAAGACUAGAGAGUAUAUAUGUGAAAAUAUCAGCAAUGACAAUUUCUGGAUGAUGAGAUUAUGAGUGAUUUUUAUUUUUCACCAUGUACUUUUCUGAAUCUUCCAAAUAUGAACAAUUAUUCCUUUUAUAGCCAGAGAAACAAAUAUAGUUGAUGAUUUAAAGAUGUGUACAGAUUUGAGGGCUGAUUAUAUCAAUUGACUAACACUACCAUUGUAUACAUGUAAUAAAGCUUCACAAAUUACAAUUUUAGAAACCCAUGAUGAAAACCUGUCCACGUUAACAUUCUGGGUAACCUUUU
Molecule: small RNA, 1677 nt
Filed under: Pongo abelii (Sumatran orangutan)
Lineage: Eukaryota; Metazoa; Chordata; Mammalia; Primates; Hominidae
Description: processed transcript
Source: RNAcentral